RNAcentral lists this ribosomal RNA (119 nucleotides) under Pteropus alecto (black flying fox). Lineage: Eukaryota; Metazoa; Chordata; Mammalia; Chiroptera; Pteropodidae. The record is from RNAcentral.
GUCUACGGCCAUGCCACCCUGAACGUGCUGGAUCCCGUCUGAUCUCGGAAGCUAAGCAGGGUCGGGCCUGGUGAGUACUUGGAUGGGAGACCACCUAGGAAGACCAGGUACUAUAGGCG